ACAAGAGCAGAUACGCCAUUUUCUUUAGCUUUCUUCUUCCUCACAACACAUACACUACACACAGCUUCAACGCAUACACACAGUCACGAUUGAAAAAAGAGAGAUCUACGAGAGAAAAGGGGAGAAAUCGAGAGAAACCAAAAAGAGAGGGAGAGAAUGAAAUCGAGUGAGAGGUAGAGGUGAGGAUCGAAAGGGGAGGUAGAGUCGCGUUUGGUUACUGUUCUGAUGACACAGUUGCCGGAGAACAUCGAUAUGACGUCCUUCAUCGAAAAGGGUCCCUCAUCAACGAUCUCAGUCAAAAUUAGCUUAAAUCACCCGUAAACCCAUCAUAAAUAAAUGGUUAAACAACCAACCUCCACCAGAAAUCAAUAGCCGAGUCUACCGGUAAAACCCACUUUCAUUUUCAAUGAAAUCUCACCGGGAAACAUUAUUUCGCUGACUGUCGAGAUCCAUCAAAACUUUGAUGAGUUCAAACUUCACCAAAAAUAGCAAAUCCGACGAGACCCGUUGCAAAUUGAGUUCGAAAUUUGAGUUUUGGAUUUUAUUUUUUAUGGUUUUCUCCGCUGUUUUAGGGGGUUUUGAUUGAGUUGGCAAGUUCGUAGUCGAGGUUCGAAUUGAGGUUCUUUUGUGCGCGGAUUCUGUGUUUUUUAUUGACUGAUAUUUGGAAUAAAAUCAUCAUCGAGGUCCAAUUCUACUCUUUACCUCUUUUUGUUUUAUUGUUGAUGGUAUCUGAUGCAUUGAUUUUAAUAUUGUGUGUUGGUUGAUUCGUGAUUAUGUGAAUUAUUGUUGUUCUGGUUCAGUAUUUGAUUCUCUUCAUUAUGGAUUGAUUAUGGAUUAUGUGAUGAAAUGAUAUCUCGUUUGAGAAUUAAAAUUGAUUGUUGUGGGGCAGAAGUUAAAAGUUGAUAAAAAUAUUUUUUGUUGUUUUGAUUCAUUGAUAUCGAACUUGAUAGUAUCCUGAUAGGUCGAAUUGGAUAGGCAAAAUAUUCAGGUACGGGUAGGCAAAAGUUAGGAGUGAUGUGUUGAUUCAAUGCAGCGAAUGUUAAAAUGUGUGUUGAAUGGUUUUGUUUUAUCACUUUUGGAUCAAUUGUACUAUUUGGCCGGGGAAUGCCCCGAAGUAUCUAUAUAUCUUUAUUCACCAGGGAAUGUCCUGAGGUAUUUUGUACCCGAAGGACGUUCGUGAUGAAGGCCCGAGGCGUUGGGUAAAGCACGGGAGCGUAGUUAAUGUUAGUGUAGGUUAGAUAGGAUUUAUUUUUGUAUUUUUCUAUUUUGGACUGUAUAAAUUAGACUGGACACUGUACUAUUGAUUCUUUUUGUUUUGUUUGUUUGUUUGAUUGUUUUACGUGUUUUGUGUGGGUUGUACAUUCAUAGUGUCAAAAUUAGCCGAUACGCUCCACCAAGCGAUUUCCCGAAAAAUCAAAAAUGUUAAAAAAAUUUCCUACUAUUUCUUUAGUAAGCAUUCAUAAUUUGAAAACUCCAAAAAUAUUAUUUUCCUUUCAAUAGGAGCUUUGUACAUUUGUAUAUAGUGAAAAUGCCAAAGAGAUUUUCCUUCGUAAUUGUUGGUGUCAGUUUUAGUUGAAGUGGCUAAUUAAAAACCCAAAAAAAAUUUUAUUCGUUUGUCUUUGGUGGUGUCUCUUAAGUUAGGGUCAAUCUGUUAGUUAGUCGAUAUUUGUCCAAUCUGGACGAACUACGCACCCCGGAUUCUCCUCUUUCGGGAUAUGAUAUAUAUAUAUAUAUAUUACUUUAUUGCACUCAUUUCCCGAAAAAUCAAAAAUGUUAAAAAAAUUUCCUACUAUUUCUUUAGUAAGCAUUCAUAAUUUGAAAACUCCAAAAAUAUUAUUUUCCUUUCAAUAGGAGCUUUGUACAUUUGUAUAUAGUGAAAAUGCCAAAGAGAUUUUCCUUCGUAAUUGUUGGUGUCAGUUUUAGUUGAAGUGGCUAAUUAAAAACCCAAAAAAAAUUUUAUUCGUUUGUCUUUGGUGGUGUCUCUUAAGUUAGGGUCAAUCUGUUAGUUAGUCGAUAUUUGUCCAAUCUGGACGAACUACGCACCCCGGAUUCUCCUCUUUCGGGAUAUGAUAUAUAUAUAUAUAUAUUACUUUAUUGCACUCAUUUCCCGAAAAAUCAAAAAUGUUAAAAAAAUUUCCUACUAUUUCUUUAGUAAGCAUUCAUAAUUUGAAAACUCCAAAAAUAUUAUUUUCCUUUCAAUAGGAGCUUUGUACAUUUGUAUAUAGUGAAAAUGCCAAAGAGAUUUUCCUUCGUAAUUGUUGGUGUCAGUUUUAGUUGAAGUGGCUAAUUAAAAACCCAAAAAAAAUUUUAUUCGUUUGUCUUUGGUGGUGUCUCUUAAGUUAGGGUCAAUCUGUUAGUUAGUCGAUAUUUGUCCAAUCUGGACGAACUACGCACCCCGGAUUCUCCUCUUUCGGGAUAUGAUAUAUAUAUAUAUAUAUUACUUUAUUGCACUCAUUUCCCGAAAAAUCAAAAAUGUUAAAAAAAUUUCCUACUAUUUCUUUAGUAAGCAUUCAUAAUUUGAAAACUCCAAAAAUAUUAUUUUCCUUUCAAUAGGAGCUUUGUACAUUUGUAUAUAGUGAAAAUGCCAAAGAGAUUUUCCUUCGUAAUUGUUGGUGUCAGUUUUAGUUGAAGUGGCUAAUUAAAAACCCAAAAAAAAUUUUAUUCGUUUGUCUUUGGUGGUGUCUCUUAAGUUAGGGUCAAUCUGUUAGUUAGUCGAUAUUUGUCCAAUCUGGACGAACUACGCACCCCGGAUUCUCCUCUUUCGGGAUAUGAUAUAUAUAUAUAUAUAUUACUUUAUUGCACUCAUUUCCCGAAAAAUCAAAAAUGUUAAAAAAAUUUCCUACUAUUUCUUUAGUAAGCAUUCAUAAUUUGAAAACUCCAAAAAUAUUAUUUUCCUUUCAAUAGGAGCUUUGUACAUUUGUAUAUAGUGAAAAUGCCAAAGAGAUUUUCCUUCGUAAUUGUUGGUGUCAGUUUUAGUUGAAGUGGCUAAUUAAAAACCCAAAAAAAAUUUUAUUCGUUUGUCUUUGGUGGUGUCUCUUAAGUUAGGGUCAAUCUGUUAGUUAGUCGAUAUUUGUCCAAUCUGGACGAACUACGCACCCCGGAUUCUCCUCUUUCGGGAUAUGAGAUACGUAGGCAACUUAUUGUUGGUUCGGGGAUCUUAUUUCAAAAAUCCAUAAAAAUAUUUUAUUCAUUCUUCAUUUAGAGUAGGUGUUUCAUAUACAUCUUCAAGAGAAAACUACAAAAGAUUUUCCUUUAAUAGUUUCAAGUUUCAUUUUCGAAUGAAAUUCAAAAUUGAAAAAGCCAAAAGAUUUUCUUUGGUAAUUAUAGGUUUUAUUUCAUAUAGAAAUCUGAAAAAUUCGAAAAAAAAAAAUCUUCUUCACUCUACAUUUAGAGUAGGUGUCAUAUACGUCUCUCAAAAGAAAACUACAAAAAGAUUUUUCUUUAAUAGGUUCAAGUUUCAUUUUUGCAUGAAAUUCAAAUAUCAAAAAUCCAAAAAGAUUUUUCUUUGGUAAUCAUAGGUUUCGUUUUGUAUAGGGAGUUUAAACCUGAAAAAUGCAAAAAGAUUUUCAUUAGUUCUUUUGACAAUUUGUUAUUUUUGAAGUUUCAAGAAAAAGAAAAAGAAAGAAAAAAUAGUUUAAUUGGCCAUUUUGGCAAAACUUCACAAAAUAGUUUAAUUGGCCAUUUUGGCAAAACUUCACGAACUACGCACACCUGAUUCUCUUCUCUCGGGGGUGAGAUACGUAGGCGCCCUUCUUGGGUUCGGUGAUCUACUCUAAUAGAAAAAAGGUUUUGAAGAAAAAUGUUGAACUCUAACAUAUUUGUUGCCUCUUGUUCAGUUAGUUUAAGGUGGUUGUUUUGUGGCUGCCUUGCUGGUCCUCCAUAUCAUAUCAAAUCCGAAGAAAGUUUAGUUGUGUCCAAAAAGGAUAUAGAGAGUGGCAUCAUGGAUGAAACAAAGAGUCAGGAAAUUGAGAGUUUAAAGAAAGAGAAUUUGAGACUGAGACAAAUGGUGGAAAUGUACCGAGCUUAGGUCAGUGGGUUGUCUCCACCCCCGUUCCCCAUUUUUGGCCCUACAAAUACCUUGAGUCUUCUACCAAAAUUGCAAAAUCAAUUUCCUACUAUUAUUGAUGCACCACAACAUGCCUUAAAAUCCAUUCCACGUCAAAUUCACCUCAAUACUUCCACCACUCUUUCUUUAGCUCCUCAAUAUAAGUCUACCAUAUUCGUAACACCACAUACCGUCUGUGCUUUUGUUACUCAACCUUCUACUAAGGUUUCCACUUUGGCAAUCAAUCCAACGAUUGUGCUUCCCCAGUCCACUAGUGAAUCCGCAUUCAAUACUCUUGAUGAUCAUUGUUAUACUCUUGAGCCUACAGUUAAGUUAAGUGAACCGCCAAAAUUUCUUACUAAGAAGCCUAGCAUGCUAGAAAAGCUUGAGAAAAUGGUUCGGAAGGUUAAGGGUGUAGAAAAUGAUAUGAAAAGUUCCUUGGGACUUGUGGGAUAUGAAGAUGUUUCAUAUAAAAACUGGGGUAUGUUUCCAAGUGUUGACCUUCUUCCAAGCUUUGAGACAUCAAAAUUUGAGGAGCUUGAUGGACAGAAUAAUUUUGUGAAAUAUUUGGGACGAUAUUGCAAUCGAUCAAUGAAAACUGAAGAAAAGAAAAAGAAAAAUGCCCCCGUUGUCGUGCCAGGGACAAAGUAGAGUUUAAGAGGUCUAUCUUACCAAUACUGUCAGCCUCAAUCUUGAGCUUACAUAUCAAAUCCACUUACUCAUCUGCAGCAAGGUUCCUCUUUUCAAAAUCCAAAGACUUUCAUUCCACUUCCUCAAUGUCCUUUGAAUAAUGCACAAUUGUUUACCCAUCCGUCUUCUUAUCCAAAAUGGCAUGCACAUAUCCCUCAACAUCAUCAUCGACCCCCACAAAUUUACCAAGGAACCUCUAAAUCAACAUUUCAUUCGAGGCCAGAGUUUGCAAUGAUGAGGAAAGAAAAGGAUAAUUUUACUCCUAUUAGGGAAUCUUAUGCAUGUUUGUUCCAGAGAUUGAGACAUAGGGGCAUGAUUACUCCUCUCCUUGGGCACACGCUUAAUCGAUGUUCAAAAAAUUUUAAUCCUAAUGUACGUUGUGCAUAUCAUUCUAAUGCUCAAGGUCAUAGUAUUGAAGAUUGUCGAGAUUUGAAAAGAGAAAUUGAAAAGAUGAUUCAAGAUGGAUCAAUUAUGGUGCAAAAUAUUAACAGUGAGGAAAGCUCUAGUCAUGCUGAUAUGCAAACCAGUGGCUAAUUUAUCAGGCUGAGCAAUUGAGAAGUCACCCCUNNNNNNNNNNNNNNNNNNNNNNNNNNNNNNNNNNNNNNNNNNNNNNNUUUCUGUUGUCCGAAUUAUUUUAGGAUUGUAGUUCGGGAUCGAUCUUGUUUUGUCCCUUUGUUGUUUAUGCUCAAACCCUUCUAUCUUUUGUUUCAACUAAAUGAAGUGUCCCAUUUUCUUUGUGUUUUAAAUAUGUGUUGUUUGUUUGUUUUCUUUACAUAGUACAUUUUUAUGUUGAUUCUAGUGAUAUGACAUGCUAGUAAAAUUUUCAACCAUAUCUUAUAAUUUAGUUUAAACAUGAACAUUGAAUCAGAUGAUUAAAGUUAGAAAAGAGGGCAUAUGAGAAAACAGAUAGAGUGCUGGGGCAUUUGGUGAUUAAGUUGAAGCCUUCUUUGAAAAUUAAGGCAAUUAUUUUGAGAAUUGUGAGAAUAACUUGGUCAUCAAUUUAAAGACAUAUCUUAAUUAAGUCAAGUGGUGAAUCAAUCCUAUGUCAAAAGGAGCAGAAAGAAAAUCAGCUCCAUGAUGUCAUGAGUCCUUCUUCAUGAGGAAUGUACAAAGAAAGUGGAGUUGUAUGUUUGACAAGGGUAGAAGAAGAAUUGGCACACAUGCUUAGUUGAAGUUAGUACUGUUAAAGUGUCACAAAUGAUUUUUAUCUUUUAUUUCAUAUUGCAUGAUAUGUACUUACAUUUUCAAGGAUUGAUAUGAUGAAGGAAUUUCAUUCUGCUAUCCAAACAUUGUGUCAUCCUUUGUUUACCCUAUUUGAGCCUUAUUCUAUUUUAUUUCAUACCCCUCUUUUGGAAUCAAGAUAGAGUCAGUAAAAUUCAAAAGAAAAGUGUCGAGCAAAAGACUAGAAUCAGAAAAGUUUUCAAAAGAAGAAGAGAAAAAAACGUGUCCAAAAAGAGAAAAGUGUCAAGACAAAUAGAGUCAGAAUAUCUAAAUAGAAAAGAAUGUCAACAAAAGGAAAAAUCAGAAUCAAGCAAAGGAACAAGCUGCCAUAACUAUGCAUGAACUGAUUCUCCUCUCUCGGGGGUGAGAUACGUAGGCUGCCCUACUAAGGGCUCGGUCAAACCAAAUAAAUAAUUUAGCGUCACCCAGUCAAAAGAAACUGGAGCAUGAGUUAAUCCUUAUUAUUUGAGUCGAUUUCAAAAUUUGUAAGUCCCACCCCACUUCAAGUGUCGUUUGGGCCCCACGCUAUCCUUUUUUUCUAGCCCAAUCCAAAAGCCAAGUAACAACCAAAGAAAGACCUUCGGAUCAAUCUUUGAGAAUGUUAAGACUAAGCACGCGAUGGAUGUGAUGACACAUUUUAGGAACUACUAGUCUUCCUAUGCAUAAGAAAUCAGGAGAGAAAUAAAUGAGAGAGUCUUAUUGGUGAAAACCCUCACAGGCACCAUAAGGCGACGGUGAGUUGAGAAAAAAAUAAGAGAGGCUUGUUGACAAAAAUCCUUCAAUGUGCCACUAGCUGAAUGAGCUCUUCGAAUGCAAUGGGUUUAAGCAAGUAACUUAAUUUCAGAGCCACUAACUCAACAACAAUUGGUAGAAAGUUUGGAUGGAAAGAUCAGGCGACUUGAUCCAAAAUGCAUGGCACAAUCAUUAGAGUUGACUGUCACUUCUAGAUAAAUUUUUCAUUUCUUUAUUUCAAAUGGGGACAUUCAUUGUCUUUUCUCGCUUCUCUUUAUUUUUAUUUUAUUUUUCUUUAGUCAGUUGUCCAAAUAAAAUCAUUGCCAUUUUUUCUCUUAUUUUUGAGUCAAGUUCAUGUCAAAAUAAGUGAGAAAAGAUCUCAAAAUUGGCUACCAGCUUCUUCAAUUGCACAAAGCAAGAUAAAAGGGCCAGCACAUGUAAAAGAUAUGAUUAUGAGCCGAAAUAAGGCAUACAAAAAUUUUGUCAAUAGACAAGUCUGAGAACUUAUGGAAAUAGCAAGGUUCAGGGGUUUAUCUGAGGAGCAUGACAAAGCAGAGAUACCAUGUUUGUUUCAGAGUCACUGUUAAUAAUCUAAGUGUGGAUCAGUGAUGCAAUAAGUCAACGAAAUACGCUAAUGGUUGGAAGCAAGAUUAAUGUGAUAGGGGCAAGAGUGAUUGCCACGAAAGCCAAAGCCACAGACCAUCCACCAUAUUUUUAAACUAACAAGCUUUCUUUGUAUGAAACAGGAACACAUGCUACCUUCGAAGCAAGGAUUUCAAAGCCUAAAGAUCAAAGGCCGUAAUAUUCUCACUUCUUCAAAUGCAGGAAACAAUAUUGUUAAUCAAAACCAUGGUAAAACACAUCAUCCAAUAUCUCUAGGAGACGCACUUCCUUUUUUGGACAAUUCAAGCAACAUUUGUAAGGAGAUGCACUUCCUUAUUUUGGUAAUUCAAGCGCUAUCAUAAGGAGACGCACUUUCAAAGGAGACGCACUUCCUUGUUUGGUAAAUCAAGUAGUAUUGGUAAGGAGACGCACUUCAUUGUUUGGUAAUUCAAGCAGUAUUUGUAAGAAGACGCACUUCCUUGUUUGGGUAAUUUAAGCAACAUUUGUAAGGAGAUGAACUUCCUUGUUUGAGUUAUUUAAGAGACAUUUGUUAGGAGACGCAUUUCCUUGUUUUGGUAAUUCAAGCGGUGUUGGUAAGGAAAAGCACUUCCUUGUUUGGUUAAUUCAAGCAACAUUUGCAAGGAGACGCACUUCCUUGUUUAGGAAAUUCGAGCAAUAUUUUUAAGAAGAAGCACUUCCUUAUUUAGUUAAUUCAAGAAACAUUUGUAAGGAGAGGCACUUCCUUGUUUGGGGCAAUUCGAGCAACAUUUGUAAGGAGAAGCACUUCCUUAUUUAGUUAAUUCAAGAAAUAUUUGUAAGGAGACACACUUUCUUUUUUGGAUAAAUUCGAGCAAUAUUUGUAAGGAGAUGCACUUCCUUAUUUUGGUAAUUCAAGAAAUAUUUGUAAGGAGAUGCACUUCCUUGUUUGGGUAAUUCCAGCAAUAUUUGUUGAGGAAACACACUUUCUUGUUUGGGCAAUUCAAGCAACAUUUGUAAAGAGACGCACUUCCUUGUUUGGGUAAUUCCAUCAAUAUUUGUUGAGGAAACGCACUUUCUUGUUUGGGCAAUUCAAGCAACAUUUGUAAAGAGACGCACUUCCUUGUUUGGGCAAUUCAAGCGACAUUUGUAAGGAGAUGCACCUCCUUGUUUAGUCAAUUCAAGAAACAUUUGUGAGGAGACGCACUUCCUUAUUUGGGCAAUUCAAGUGAUAUUUGUGAGGAGACGCGCUUCUUUGUUUGGGUAAUUCCAGCAAUAUUUGUAAGGAGACGCACUUCCUUGUUUGGGUAAUUCAAGAAGGAUUUGAUAAGGAGACGCACUUCCUUGUUUGGGUAAUUCAAGCAACAUUUAUAAGGCGACGCACUUCCUGUUUAGGCAAUUCAAGAAAUAUUUGUAAGGAGACGCACUUCCUUCUUUGAGUAAUUUAAGAGACAUUUGUGAGGAGACGCACUUCCUUAUUUGAGUAAUUCAAGCGACAUUGGUAAGAAGACACACUUCCUUAUUUUGGUAAUUCAAGCGGCAUUGGUAAGGAGAUGCACUUCCUUGUUUUGAUAAUUCAAGCAACAUUGAUAAGGAGAUGCACUUCCUUGAUUGGGUAAUUUGAACUUUUCUUUUUGGGUAAUGCACUUCCUAACUUAAGUCUUGAUUCCUAGUAGAUGCACCUCCUAGUCGAGUCAGUCCCCUUGAUUUCUAGAAAAUGCACUUUCUAGUCGAGUUAUUGCACUUAAUCCUUAGGAGACGCACUUCUUUGCUAGUUUUUAUUUGUCAGGUGACACACUUUUUAACUUAAACUUGUAUCUCUAGAAGACGCAUUUCAUGUUAAAAUCCCUCACUUUAAUUCUUAGGAGACUCACUUCCUAGUCUUGGUUAUUCAAUUUUACUCUCAAGAGAUGCAUUUCUUGAUCAGAGUCUUGAUUCAUCGUUGCAACAUGCAAGUAGAUAUGAUGUGAAAUUUUCAUUUUUGAUGUAAUGACAGAGCCGCGAACUGGAAUCUCGAUGGAACCUCACUCGACUCUCCAACACAGUAUAGUCCUUCUCUCUCCAAUCCUUUGAGAUACCCAUCACUUAAUUCCUCCAUAACUUGGGUAGGUAGGUUGUCCUAAGUCAGGACUCAAUUGUCCUUCUUCCUUCUGUUUCUUCCUUUGAAUAUUGGUCAGGAUAAAAUUCUGUUUUGUUGUCUACUUCUUUGUCUGAUUACAUUCAAAGGGGGCAUGAUGUAGACACCUAAUUUCGUCCCUCCCCGACAUCUCUUUUACCCAUUUUUACUUUAUCCUACCGUGUACCCUCAUCUACGUGAUAAUCCCACAAAAAUACAAAAAAAUAACAAAAAUUCAAUAAAUCCCUAACCUUAUCAUAACAAACUUUAUCCUAAUCACCUACUACCCCACCCCUCUCACGUGACCCUCACCCUUUCCUUUUCUUGUCCACAAGCAUAUUCCCUUAACAGAAUUGAGAAAAUGAAUUUUCAAGGAAACUUCCAUAUGCACACCUCACUCAUAGACCCCACUAUUUUGUUUCUUUUUGUUUUCAUUUUUAUCAUGCACACACAACAACUUGGGAGGGACCCAUGGAGGGAAGAUUCCCAAUUCUCAUUCAAUUUAGAGGGACCCACAGAAGGAAAAAGGCUUCGAGUUUCUUGAAUUCAAUAUAUACAUCAUUUAUUUUUCUUCUUCUUGGUGGACAAAAAAUUGACAAGAGUAGAUACGUCAUUUUCUUUAGCUUUCUUCUUCCUCACAACACAUACACUACACACAGCUUCAACGCACACAUAGAGUCACGAUUGAAAAGAGAGAGAGCUGUGAGAGGGAGGGGGGAGAAAUCGGGAGAAACCAAAAAGAGAGGGAGAGAAUGAAAUCGAGUGAGAGGUAGAGGUGAGGAUCGAAAGGGGAGGUAGAGUCGCGUUUGGUUACUGUUCUGAUGACACAGUCGCCGAAGAACAUCGAUAUGACGUCCUUCAUCGGAAAGGGUCCCUCAUCAAUGAUCUCAGUCAAAAUUAGCUUAAAUCACCCGUAAACCCAUCAUAAAUCAAUGGUUAAACAACCAACCUCCACCAGAAAUCAAUAGCCGAGUCUACCGGUAAAACCCACUUUCAUUUUCAGUGAAAUCUCACCGGGAAACAUUAUUUCGCUGACUGUCAAGAUCCAUCAAAACUUUGACGAGUUCAAACUUCACCAAAAAUAGCAAAUCCGACGAGACCCGUUGCAAAUUGAGUUCGAAAUUUGAGUUUUGGAUUUUAUUUUUUGUGGUUUUCUCCGCUGUUUUAGGGGGUUUUGAUUGAGUUGGCAAGUUCGUAGUCGAGGUUCGAAUUGAGGUUCUUUGGUGCGCGGAUUCUGCCUUUUUGAUUGACUGAUAUUUGGAAUAAAAUUGUCAUCAAGGUCCAAUUCUACUCUUUACCUCUUUUUAUUUUAUUGUUGAUGGUAU
This 10708-nucleotide long non-coding RNA is filed under the name Capsicum annuum. Its description in RNAcentral is "long non-coding RNA (CANN_LNC016425)". The record is from RNAcentral. Lineage: Eukaryota; Viridiplantae; Streptophyta; Magnoliopsida; Solanales; Solanaceae.